UGAGGUCCCACAAAGUGGUUGCUGGAGG
Molecule: non-coding RNA, 28 nt
Filed under: Mus musculus (house mouse)
Lineage: Eukaryota; Metazoa; Chordata; Mammalia; Rodentia; Muridae
Source: RNAcentral